This 404-nucleotide ribosomal RNA is filed under the name uncultured bacterium. Its description in RNAcentral is "bacterial SSU rRNA". It matches the Rfam family "Bacterial small subunit ribosomal RNA", at positions 30 to 432 of the family's 1533-position model. The record is from RNAcentral.
AUUGAACGCUGGCGGCGUGCCUAACACAUGCAAGUCGAGCGGUAACAGGUGUAGCAAUACAUGCUGACGAGCGGCGAACGGGUGAGUAAUGCUUCGGAAUCUACCUUAUGGUGGGGAAUAACUAGCCGAAAGGUUAGCUAAUACCGCAUACGUCCUACGGGAGAAAGCAGGGGAUCGUAAGACCUUGCGCCAAAAGAUGAGCCGAAGUCGGAUUAGCUAGUUGGUAGGGUAACGGCCUACCAAGGCGACGAUCCGUAGCUGGUCUGAGAGGACGACCAGCCACACUGGGACUGAGACACGGCCCAGACUCCUACGGGAGGCAGCAGUGGGGAAUAUUGGACAAUGGGGGAAACCCUGAUCCAGCGACGCCGCGUGUGUGAAGAAGGCCUGCGGGUUGUAAAGCA